GAUGAACGCUAGCGGCAGGCUUAACACAUGCAAGUCGAGGGGCAGCGCGGGAUAGCAAUAUCCUGGCGGCGACCGGCGGAAGGGUGCGUAACGCGUGAGCGACAUGCCCGUUGCCCGGGGACAACCGGUGGAAACGCCGACUAAUCCCCGAUGGGAUAUUGUGCCGCAUGGCACGAUAUUGAAAGUUACGGCGGCGACGGAUUGGCUCGCGUCCGAUUAGCUGGUUGGCGGGGUAACGGCCCACCAAGGCUGCGAUCGGUAGGGGUUCUGAGAGGAAGGCCCCCCACAAUGGGACUGAGACACGGCCCAUACUCCUACGGGAGGCAGCAGUGAGGAAUAUUGGUAAAUGGGCGGAAGCCUGAACCAGCCAUGCCGCGUGCGGGAAGGAGGCCCUAUGGGCUGUGAACCGCUUUUGCCUGGGGGCAAUAAGGGCGUCGCGCACGUCCGAUGAGAGUACCAGGCGAAUAAGCAUCGGCUAACUCCGUG
Molecule: ribosomal RNA, 486 nt
Filed under: uncultured bacterium
Lineage: Bacteria
Description: partial 16S ribosomal RNA
Rfam family: Bacterial small subunit ribosomal RNA
Source: RNAcentral